Molecule: non-coding RNA, 415 nt
Filed under: Morganella psychrotolerans
Lineage: Bacteria; Pseudomonadati; Pseudomonadota; Gammaproteobacteria; Enterobacterales; Morganellaceae
Source: RNAcentral
CAUGCAGCGUGCUGCCGAGCGGUACGACAUCAAUAGUAUUGUUUUUCAGGCGAACUUCACCGGUUGCCCGUACCAUUUCAUUAAAAUUGAGCGGAAUUUCCAGGUUAAGGUUACCGUUGACACCACCGCCGAUUUUCAGCUGCUUCAGCGUAUUACCGAUGGAGUCUUUCAUCGGGGUCUGAUCAAAAUAAUUGCCCAGCGAUUCCCCUUUCCCUUCGAUAUCUGACUGAAUAUAAAGGCGCUCAAUCGUAAAGUCCGGAAUAUCGGCUUUCAGGUUCAGGGCUGUUGCGUUACCCAAUUUUGCCUGCGGAGCUGUCAUCCAUAACCCGUGGUUAUGAAAAUUCAGAUCAACAUUCACAUCCAUCAGUGCAGGCCAGUCCGGAUCAUAUUUGAAUGUCGCAUCGCGCAGCGGCAC